CCGUGCUAGGUGGGGAGCUAGCGGUGCCCUGUACCCGCAAUCCGCUUUAGCGGGGCUGAAUUCCCACCCUA
This 71-nucleotide signal recognition particle RNA is filed under the name Actinomycetota bacterium. RNAcentral describes it as "Actinobacteria bacterium (hot springs metagenome) partial signal recognition particle sRNA large type". It matches the Rfam family "Bacterial large signal recognition particle RNA", at positions 1 to 71 of the family's 256-position model. Rfam says of the family: The signal recognition particle (SRP) is a universally conserved ribonucleoprotein involved in the co-translational targeting of proteins to membranes. Archaeal SRP consists of a 7S RNA and homologues of the eukaryotic SRP19 and SRP54 proteins. In most bacteria, the SRP consists of a 4.5S RNA and the Ffh protein (a homologue of the eukaryotic SRP54 protein). Lineage: Bacteria; Bacillati; Actinomycetota. The record is from RNAcentral.